UUGUAAAAUUAUAUAGUAAAUGAUAUUGUAAAAUUAAAUAGUAAAUUCACACGAUGUUCAAAUAAUUCGAAAUAACGAUAGACCAAAAGCUGUUUAAACGAGACACAAGAAUUAAUCGUGCAUUUUAUUAAAAAGUUAAGUACGAAUAAAAGAAAGAAAAAUUUCGAACUUUUUUCGAAAGAACAUACAUUUAUUAUACAACAUACAUACAUUUAUUAUAUAUUGUGUUCUUUCAAACACAAUAAUACCUUCCAUAAAGGAGCACAGCCCAGAUGAGACUUUUUAUAGUUAAACUUUUAACGUACUCAUAGAAACGAAAUUUUUUUUUUUAAAUAGAACUGUUACAUUUUACGACACGUAUAACAUCGAACAUUUACCAACAUAGCGAUGCCAGCGUACAUAUAUAUAUACUGGUGUACUGGUCAUCUUUUUUCCACACGUUUUUAGCUUUUCAGCUGUUUGUGAAUGGGCGCCUAAUCAGCCAAUCAGAAAUGGCCGGUAUUCUAUGAAUCCUUUUCUUCAAUGCUCGAAGAGCUGGAUAUUUAUCCAAAGCUGGUGCCCCAAACAUAUACUCGUAAUUUUCAAGGGCCGCUGCAAAUACGAAGUCCGCCCAUGUCGUCUGAAAAAAGGAUUCUCCUCCAUGCGAUAGUAGCAGAUAUCUGAAACGUAUAUGAAACCAACCGUUACGUUCAUUUGUGUUUUUCCCCCCAAACGAAGAGAAAAUAAGGUGUGAAAGAAGGAGUAGCCUCUCAUAGUUCCUACAAUUUCUUCAUUCUCUUUGCUUUCUUCAAUAUUGCCUCAACAAGUUCCUGUGGUUCACGAUACUUGAAAUAUAUACAAUGUUACCAGCGUGGAAAUUGUCUUGGAAACUUGGAAAAUCUUUCAAGAGGAACAACAUUGCUAACUGAGAUUCGAGAAAGGAAAUUACCAAGAAUGUCGAGAUAUAAACAACCAUUUGUGGAAAGGUCAGGAGAAGCAGAAUUAUCGAAUAAACGUUAUAUAACUCUUAGUGAUUAAGUAAGAGAAGAGAAACGAGAAAAAAGUCUUUUAUCUAGGUCUUAAUAAAGUAUACUAUAUUUAUCUCCAUAUCAAGAAUAACAACAAGAUAUAAACAGUCUUCUAGAAAUUGAGUAAAUAUUACAUAAUUACAUCUUGAGCAAUAUUUUGCGUCUUAGCUUUUGCUUAAUCAUUAUGAUAAUCUUAAAUAUCUGUAAAUUCUUCACAGACUCUUUGCAUCUUCUAUACAGGUAUCUCAUGAUCAUGUGAUAACACACAGGAAGAAAAAAUAGAGGAAAAAACAGCGUAAAAAAAAGUUGCGUAGGAGUAUCGUCGCACUACAUCAUUCGACAAUUGAUGCACGUCAUGGCGAUCGUCACGGUUUAAAGCAGGCCAUCAAAAACACGUUUGUUAUCGUACGGAAAAAUCUGCGACGUUCCAGCUGUUCAGGUGCAUCGAAUUGUGAAUCAUCGGCGGUACGAAGCAAGGCGAGGGGCGUAAAUAGAGAAAGAAGAGAAGAGAAGGAUUCGCAUAAAUGAUAAAAUAUAAUCGUUCGUUCCUCGUCGAUGGCGGAUGGAUGGCUUUAAUCGUGAACGAUAUCGAUACGAUUAUAUUUUAUACAUUUGAAACAAAUAUAAAAGACGAGCAAAAACCAGAGAUACGAUCGUUAUGAUAUUAUUCAAUCGGUAGCCUAUUUACCUCGUUUUUUGUUCACCUUCUCUGUCUAGUAAUAAUUUUUCGAUUCGACUGGCGUGACGUUACGUUGGCGGUGUAGAAACACGAUUUUAAACACCUGCGGAUAGUUGCAUGAGUUUCGAGCGAUUCCAUUCCCUUCGAUUUAUAUUUAUGCGAUCAACGCGCGGAUCGUUAACGCAUUAUGCAGACAGCAGAUGUUACGUAAUCACACAUAUCGUAAUUGGAAAUUAGUAACGUUAUCGCGUACCAGGAUCUUCCUGUCUUUGAUCAUCGAGUAACACUUCGUUAGACAGGGAUUUGCAAAGAAUAAAAGUUGUAGAACGUUGAAAGGCGUUGAGAGAAACGUGAUGUUAUCCCGUUAUUCGUUAACGCAACGCAGUUAAAAAAAAUCCCGUAGGAAGAUUACGAUAAUAGAUAACCUGAGUCGAGUGUUUGUCGGGGGAUCUAAAAGAUUCUUUCGAGUUGAGCGUCUGAGAUUGCAGAGAAGAAAAUUUGGAAGCCAUCGAAUUCGUGAUGUCGAUAGAAAUCUUCAGUUGGAAUCGUUGUAUCAUAACGUAGUCUGCUUAUUGUCGAUAAGACUUUACUAAACUAAAAGUGACUACUAAAAGUUUCUAUCCUCUAAAUUCUAUCUACGAUUCUAUAAUCUAAAAACUGACUUUUGCAAACAAACUGUAACAUUCGCUUAACGGAAAGACAUACGUAUCUUGUUUGUACUCGUCUUUUCACAAUGAAUUCUUGAACGUCUGUCUCUGUGGUGAGACAAAUGCAAAGUCAUCUCAUCAGUUACUCACCUUGCUUCAAAUCUCCAAGAGUAUCGACGAGCUCGUCGCAUAUCAUCGCAUCCCAUUCGUCCUUUCCCAUUAGAUCGUACUUCCUCGCCAAGUAUCGCGCCACAGCGUUACUUUGCGCUACCGGUUUCCCGUCUAUCUCCAGCACAGGCAGCUUUUUAUAAGGCAUUGCUAAGAACAAACAUGGCUCAUAUGAACACUGUGUAGAGGGAAACGAUCGAUAGGAAAUCACAACACAGCUUCCGAGGCCGUUGCGUUCUUGUGAAUAGAUGAAUCGAAAUCAUUUCGGUUUUAAUCAACAUGACCUAGUAAAGAAAUACAGAAAUGUCUUCUUUCUCCUUUUUUUCUUUUCUUACGAUUACGAUGGACAGGGUAUCGCGUGUUUUUGACUGUUGGGAAGAAUCUAAAGUUUUUAAAAUCAAGGAUAAAAGAUAAUACCAGACACGGAAAAAAAUAUUAGAAAAUGUACACGGUUCUUGUAAUGAAAAUUGAAAUGCAAGGAAUAUAAAUCGAAUGUCUCUUGCGAACGUAAUUUUGUGUUUUACACCGACAGGAUUGAUUUACAGACUUACGUUGAUUUUUUGUUUCUCUAUCUGCAAGCGACAUAUAAGAUUAUAUCGAAGACUAUUUACGAUAGAAAUGUCGCAACGGAAGAUCGAAUUUUAUGUCUGCUUUGUUCUUUCUACUUUUUAGCUAUGUUCUUGUUCAUUUUCGAACUGAUUUCAAUUUUUUAUCCUUUUUUUCCGACAAGUCCUAAAAAGUUUUUAAAUUAACGAGAAACGUAGAAGUAUUUUUGUAUUCCUAUUUUAAGUCACCUAUUUACGGUUUUCUCAAAAUAUUCGAAAUGCUUCGAUUCAUUGAAAACAAUAAAGAUUGCAACACAAAAAUUCGAGAAUCGUAAGUGAAUUAAGUUGGUAUUCGAUGAACACGAUAUUACGGAAGCAAAACUUAAUGAAAAGUUCGACUUUAUUCCGUAUGAAAUUUUACUUUAAGUAAGUUUAGCCUGCACGUGAAACGAAAGUUUUAUAUACAGAAAAGUUUGAGUAAGUGGCAGAUAUCUGAGAGUUGAACGAUGAAAGUAAAAAUCGAUUCUUCACGCUUACAAUCCUUGUAUUCAGGCCAGAGUUCUUCGGGGAUCCUCUCGUCGGUAUACUCGAUGCCAGUAUAUGCAAAUAUGUACCGUAUAUGUUCGGCACGACCACGGGCAUUGAAGUAGAUUAGUUUGUAGGUAUGUUCGUCGCUCAUUUUCCUUGCUCUGUCAACUUAUCGAGAAAAAUGUUACAAUUAACUCGUGUAAUUAACAGACUGUGUGCGUGUUUGUGUGUAGAGAGAACAAUUUAUUUAUAGAUGGAAUAAUUCGUAUAAUACGCAAAAUAAAUCAUUUAGAAGGCUGGAAUAUAUGUUUUUGAAACAAUUAAUUAUGUCGAAAAAUAUUUCAAACGAGAUAUAAUUAUGAAAAAAAUAAUAAUUAAAUGUAUGUAAAUGUAUGUAAUAAUAGUUAAAUGUAUGUAAAUGUAAUAAUUAAAUGUAAUUAGUUGUGAAAAAAAUAAUAAUAAAAAAUAAAUAAAUGUAAAAAAAGAAUUAAAUGUAA
Long non-coding RNA from Bombus huntii, 4071 nucleotides. RefSeq lists it as uncharacterized. NCBI's taxonomy places the organism in Eukaryota, Metazoa, Arthropoda, Insecta, Hymenoptera, Apidae. The transcript has 4 exons. The record is from RefSeq and is a predicted model, not a curated record.